GGCCCCGGACGCCGCAGCGCCGUCCCGGAUUGCAAAUCCGUUUACCCCAGUUCGAUUCUGGGCGGGACCUCCA
Molecule: transfer RNA, 73 nt
Filed under: Planctomycetota bacterium
Lineage: Bacteria; Pseudomonadati; Planctomycetota
Description: Planctomycetes bacterium (bioreactor metagenome) tRNA-Cys
Source: RNAcentral